GGGCUUGUGGUUUAGUGGUAUAAUACUCCCUUAGCAUGUGUGUGAUUUUGAGAUCAUAUGUACAACUUGGGAGUGGUCCGGGGUUCGAUUCCCCGCGAGUCCA
This is a non-coding RNA of Daldinia decipiens, 103 nucleotides long. Lineage: Eukaryota; Fungi; Ascomycota; Sordariomycetes; Xylariales; Hypoxylaceae. The record is from the annotation of a RefSeq genome assembly.